RNAcentral lists this ribosomal RNA (394 nucleotides) under uncultured bacterium. RNAcentral describes it as "partial 16S ribosomal RNA". It matches the Rfam family "Bacterial small subunit ribosomal RNA", at positions 523 to 918 of the family's 1533-position model. The record is from RNAcentral.
AUACGUAGGGAGCGAGCGUUGUCCGGAAUUACUGGGCGUAAAGGGCGCGUAGGCGGCGCUUCAAGUCGUCUGUCAAAUGGGAGGGCUUAACCCUUUUUCGCAGACGAAACUGGAGAGCUUGAGAAGCAGAGAGCCAAACAGAAUUCCUGGUGUAGCGGUGAAAUGCGUAGAUAUCAGGAAGAAUACCAGUGGCGAAGGCGGUUUGCUGGCUGCAUACUGACGCUGAAGCGCGAAAGCCAGGGGAGCAAACGGGAUUAGAUACCCCGGUAGUCCUGGCAGUAAACGAUGUAUGCUGGGUGUGAGACUAGCGAUAGUUUCGUGCCGAAGUUAACGCGAUAAGCAUACCGCCUGGGGAGUACGGUCGCAAGAUUGAAACUCAAAGGAAUUGACGGGG